RNAcentral lists this long non-coding RNA (435 nucleotides) under Anas zonorhyncha (Eastern spot-billed duck). RNAcentral describes it as "lncRNA (ENSAZOG00000000597.1)". Lineage: Eukaryota; Metazoa; Chordata; Aves; Anseriformes; Anatidae. The record is from RNAcentral.
UUGGAAGGUUAGGGAUUGUAUUCUGAGAGGUCAUCUCUUACAACCUCUAUCCUUUAGAAGUCAGAGGACAGACUCUCAUGGAAGGCUCUUCCUAGUUAUUUGCUCUACUAAAUACCAAGUUCGUUGCUUUCUGUGUUGUUUGCAGUUCCUCAUGAACAUGAAAACCGGCUCCAGCUUUGGAAGCAGUGCAGUAGCCCAAGGAAGAAUUAAUGGUGCAUAUUGUAGGAAAAUAAUACAGAACAUAUGUGCAAGGAUUCCUUCAGGUAACUUUACGCUUAUAGCCAAAAUAAAUUGCAAGAUAGUUUUCAUUUCCAUUACUUCUCUUGGUCUUUUUUUUUUUUUUUUUUUUUUAAAAGGUACACUUCCACUAAUUAAAGGUAACUCUUGCUAAUAGAAGCUAAUAGAAGAUAAAUUUUCUGCAGUGUUGCCAGUCCU